This 433-nucleotide ribosomal RNA is filed under the name uncultured bacterium. Its description in RNAcentral is "partial 16S ribosomal RNA". It matches the Rfam family "Bacterial small subunit ribosomal RNA", at positions 28 to 507 of the family's 1533-position model. The record is from RNAcentral.
GACGAACGCUGGCGGCAUGCCUAACACAUGCAAGUCGAACGAAGGCUUCGGCCUUAGUGGCGCACGGGUGCGUAACGCGUGGGAAUCUGCCCUUAGGUUCGGAAUAACAGUUAGAAAUGACUGCUAAUACCGGAUGAUGACGUAAGUCCAAAGAUUUAUCGCCUGAGGAUGAGCCCGCGUAGGAUUAGCUAGUUGGUGUGGUAAAGGCGCACCAAGGCGACGAUCCUUAGCUGGUCUGAGAGGAUGAUCAGCCACACUGGGACUGAGACACGGCCCAGACUCCUACGGGAGGCAGCAGUGGGGAAUAUUGGACAAUGGGCGCAAGCCUGAUCCAGCAAUGCCGCGUGAGUGAUGAAGGCCUUAGGGUUGUAAAGCUCUUUUACCCGUGAUGAUAAUGACAGUAGCGGGAGAAUAAGCUCCGGCUAACUCCGUG